GCCCCCAACAAUCUGUCUUGUUAAGUGGUCAAAUUUAAUCUGACAUGGUUUUGAUCAGCUGAUGCGCUACACAUGCGUCAUGUGUCCUGGCUUAACUGACACAGACCUCCGUGGAGAGGAGUCCCCUGGGGGGCUGGCGACCCCCAGACAAAUGUCUUGCCCCCUCAAAUCAAAAUUUUAGAAGUAGACACAUUUUAAUAGACGACCCACAAAAUGAAUGUGUUAAAAGUUAACACAAUUUAUUACAGUAGUUUAGAAGUCUGACAACAGAGAUACAAGUUAUGCACCUCAACUUUAUAUCCCUCCUAUAGACAUCUCUCAGCGACCUCUCCCUCUCUGUGUGUACAUAUUUUUGUAGCUUCACAGGCUGCACUCACUAGAGACCCCCGUAAAUAUCCAAUCACUGUCACUCAUGGAUGUAUCCCUUAGCUGUGGAUGUAUUAUAAGAGCAAUCACACAUGUUUGCAAGGCAAAACAGAAUCAGCUGGCCAAUUAGCGUUUUUUCUGCCGUUGUUGGCUUGGGGUGUUCUCAUUGGCUGCGUCGUGUGUCCUCAUUGUGGGAGGGGCGCAGAGAGGCGGAGAAACUACGUUGGGGGAAACAGAUUAAAACCAACGUUUGAAACAUUGCCUCGGUUUGUCAGUACUGUGAGGAAAUGUAAUUACCGAAGGGGUCUGGGUGCUACAACAAGCUUUGGAGCUGCUUUUUGUCGAACAUGAGUGAAGCUGGACGCUGAAUAUACCUGUGGCGUGAAGGUUUACUUGUUCAGCUGCUGCAGCCUGGACAGAAACACCAGCUCUCACCUUACAAACCGAACAGGUGUCACCACUUUGUCCACGACAUCGUCCAUGAUCGGAGAGACAUUGUCAAUGACUCGCAGAGACGUGCUAAAGUCGGUAGUGACGGAGUUCCCCAAUUUGAUGACAUCGUCAAUGAUCACAUAGACAGAGAGUCUUCGUACGACGAAGUUCUUUGAGACCAGGACUGAGGCAUCCAGGUCUUCAGCUGCUGUUGUCGUCUUCUCCUGCAGAGACAAGAACACGUGUUAAUCACAGAAACUCAUCAGUAAAUCUGUUUUUUCUUUCCUAAACGUAUUCAUUGUUGUUACCCAAUUACAGUGAUAUACUAUGACAUUUGGCUUAAUACAAAGGAAUUAUCUUAAAGCAGCAAUCAGUGUUUGUGGGUUAAGUAAGAUUUUGUGCUUGCCAUUUCAUUUUGCUAUUUCAAACAGUGCAAUGUCAGUACUCUAAUCUAUAACUGUGUACAUAGUCCUG
Lates calcarifer (barramundi perch) is the source of this 1272-nucleotide long non-coding RNA. RefSeq lists it as uncharacterized. The transcript has 4 exons. NCBI's taxonomy places the organism in Eukaryota, Metazoa, Chordata, Actinopteri, Centropomidae. The record is from RefSeq and is a predicted model, not a curated record.